RNAcentral lists this unclassified non-coding RNA (240 nucleotides) under soil metagenome. RNAcentral describes it as "partial contains 5.8S ribosomal RNA, internal transcribed spacer 2, and large subunit ribosomal RNA". The record is from RNAcentral.
AACCUAGCACACCUGCGGUGUGUACCUGCGGAGGGAUCAUUACAGAGUUGCAAAACUCCCUAAACCAUUGUGAACGUUACCUAAACCGUUGCUUCGGCGGGCGGCCCGGGUCCUUCCCGGCGCCCCUCGGCCCUCGCGGGCGCCCGCCGGAGGUAAACCAAACUAUUGCAUUGUAUGGCCUCUCUGAGUCUUCUGUACUGAAUAAGUCAAAACUUUUAGCAACGGAUCUCAGAUCGGAAG